RNAcentral lists this ribosomal RNA (401 nucleotides) under uncultured bacterium. RNAcentral's name for it is "bacterial SSU rRNA". It matches the Rfam family "Bacterial small subunit ribosomal RNA", at positions 355 to 774 of the family's 1533-position model. The record is from RNAcentral.
UGGGGAAUCUUGCACAAUGGGGGCAACCCUGAUGCAGCGACGCCGCGUGAGCGAUGAAGCCCUUCGGGGCGUAAAGCUCUUUCGACCGGAACGAUAAUGACGUACCGGGAGAAGAAGCUGCGGCUAACUACGUGCCAGCAGCCGCGGUAAUACGUAGGCAGCAAGCGUUGUUCGGAAUUACUGGGCGUAAAGAGUGUGUAGGCGGUUUUGCAAGUUUGGUGUGAAAUCUCCCGGCUUAACUGGGAGGGUGCGCCGAAAACUGCAAGGCUCGAGUACUGGAGAGGAUAGCGGAAUUCCUGGUGUAGCAGUGAAAUGCGUAGAUAUCAGGAGGAACACCGGUGGUGUAGACGGCUUUCUGGACAGUCACUGACGCUGAGACACGAAAGCGUGGGGAGCAAACA